Molecule: ribosomal RNA, 533 nt
Filed under: uncultured bacterium
Lineage: Bacteria
Description: bacterial SSU rRNA
Rfam family: Bacterial small subunit ribosomal RNA
Source: RNAcentral
AAUAGAUACCCGGGUAGUCCACGCCGUAAACGAUGAGUGCUAAGUGUUAGAGGGUUUCCGCCCUUUAGUGCUGAAGUUAACGCAUUAAGCACUCCGCCUGGGGAGUACGGCCGCAAGGCUGAAACUCAAAGGAAUUGACGGGGGCCCGCACAAGCGGUGGAGCAUGUGGUUUAAUUCGAAGCAACGCGAAGAACCUUACCAGGUCUUGACAUCCUCUGACAACCCUAGAGAUAGGGCUUCUCCUUCGGGAGCAGAGUGACAGGUGGUGCAUGGUUGUCGUCAGCUCGUGUCGUGAGAUGUUGGGUUAAGUCCCGCAACGAGCGCAACCCUUGAUCUUAGUUGCCAUCAUUAAGUUGGGCACUCUAAGGUGACUGCCGGUGACAAACCGGAGGAAGUGGGGAUGACGUCAAAUCAUCAUGCCCCUUAUGACCUGGGCUACACACGUGCUACAAUGGACGGUACAAAGAGCUGCAAGACCGCGAGGUGGAGCUAAUCUCAUAAAACCGUUCUCAGUUCGGAUUGUAGGCUGCAAC